Long non-coding RNA from Cyprinus carpio (common carp), 518 nucleotides. RefSeq lists it as uncharacterized. Lineage: Eukaryota; Metazoa; Chordata; Actinopteri; Cypriniformes; Cyprinidae. The transcript is spliced from 2 exons. The record is from RefSeq and is a predicted model, not a curated record.
GUGUGUGUGUGUGUGUGUGUGUGUGUGUGUGUGUGUGUGUGUGUGUGUGUGUGUGUGUGUGUGUGUGUGUGUGUGUGUUGAUAAGUUUUAUUAUUAUUAUUAUUAAUAUAAAGAAUAUUCUACAGCUGUACAUACAGAUUCAGAUGAUCUGAACCAAUGGGGCUUAAAACACAUAAAAACACUGCACUUCUCUGAGCCAAAACUACCCACAAUCCACCUCUCCGCCCCAUACAAACACACUGACGUCACACUGUACUGAUGUACUCACACCAACAUCCACACGACCCACAAUGCACUGCGCUCAGUCCACAACAUUCAACCAAAGUGUUUUCUGCUUUAGUUUGUGUGAGUAUGAUGUUUGAGUUCGCUUUAUCAUUUCAGACUCAUGUUCACACACUUACAGACGCGAAGCGACGGCCGCUCUGUAUAAUGUGAAAUAAAUGGAUUAAUAAAUAUAUUUCCUGUUGUAAACUAGCUACAAUACUGAGAUGAUGAUUCAUUAAACUGUUUUAAUAAUG